Molecule: small nuclear RNA, 196 nt
Filed under: Brassica oleracea var. oleracea
Lineage: Eukaryota; Viridiplantae; Streptophyta; Magnoliopsida; Brassicales; Brassicaceae
Description: snRNA U2
Rfam family: U2 spliceosomal RNA
About the family: U2 is a small nuclear RNA (snRNA) component of the spliceosome (involved in pre-mRNA splicing).
Source: Rfam by way of RNAcentral
AUACCUUUCUCGGCCUUUUGGCUAAGAUCAAGUGUAGUAUCUGUUCUUAUCAGUUUAAUAUCUGAUAUGUGGUCCAUCGGGCCACACGAUAUUAACUCUAUUUUUUAAGGGAGGAGACCCAUUAAGAUAGCUUGCUAUCUGGGCUUUCAUGAGUCGCCCAUGCGUUGCACUUCUGCAAGGGCCUGGCUCAACCCGC